AGAGUUUGAUCCUGGCUCAGAUUGAACGCUGGCGGCAUGCCUUACACAUGCAAGUCGAACGGCAGCGCGGGGCAACCUGGCGGCGAGUGGCGAACGGGUGAGUAAUAUAUCGGAACGUACCCUGGAGUGGGGGAUAACGUAGCGAAAGUUUCGCUAAUACCGCAUACGAUCUAAGGAUGAAAGCAGGGGACCGCAAGGCCUUGUGCUCCUGGAGCGGCCGAUAUCUGAUUAGCUAGUUGGUGGGGUAAAGGCCCACCAAGGCAUCGAUCAGUAGCUGGUCUGAGAGGACGACCAGCCACACUGGAACUGAGACACGGUCCAGACUCCUACGGGAGGCAGCAGUGGGGAAUUUUGGACAAUGGGCGCAAGCCUGAUCCAGCAAUGCCGCGUGAGUGAAGAAGGCCUUCGGGUUGUAAAGCUCUUUUGUCAGGGAAGAAACGGCCUGUUCUAAUACAGUGGGCUAAUGACGGUACCUGAAGAAUAAGCACCGGCUAACUACGUGCCAGCAGCCGCGGUAAUACGUAGGGUGCAAGCGUUAAUCGGAAUUACUGGGCGUAAAGCGUGCGCAGGCGGUUUUGUAAGUCUGUCGUGAAAUCCCCGGGCUCAACCUGGGAAUGGCGAUGGAGACUGCAAGGCUAGAGUUUGGCAGAGGGGGGUAGAAUUCCACGUGUAGCAGUGAAAUGCUAGAUAUGUGGAGGAACACCGAUGGCGAAGGCAGCCCCCUGGGUCAAAACUGACGCUCAUGCACGAAAGCGUGGGGAGCAAACAGGAUUAGAUACCCUGGUAGUCCACGCCCUAAACGAUGUCUACUAGUUGUCGGGUCUUAAUUGACUUGGUAACGCAGCUAACGCGUGAAGUAGACCGCCUGGGGAGUACGGUCGCAAGAUUAAAACUCAAAGGAAUUGACGGGGACCCGCACAAGCGGUGGAUGAUGUGGAUUAAUUCGAUGCAACGCGAAAAACCUUACCUACCCUUGACAUGGAAGGAAUCCCGGAGAGAUUUGGGAGUGCCCGAAAGGGAACCUUUACACAGGUGCUGCAUGGCUGUCGUCAGCUCGUGUCGUGAGAUGUUGGGUUAAGUCCCGCAACGAGCGCAACCCUUGUCAUUAGUUGCUACGAAAGAGCACUCUAAUGAGACUGCCGGUGACAAACCGGAGGAAGGUGGGGAUGACGUCAAGUCCUCAUGGCCCUUAUGGGUAGGGCUUCACACGUCAUACAAUGGUACAUACAGA
Molecule: ribosomal RNA, 1231 nt
Filed under: metagenome
Description: bacterial SSU rRNA
Rfam family: Bacterial small subunit ribosomal RNA
Source: RNAcentral